Molecule: long non-coding RNA, 496 nt
Organism: Humulus lupulus (European hop)
Lineage: Eukaryota; Viridiplantae; Streptophyta; Magnoliopsida; Rosales; Cannabaceae
Exons: 3
Source: RefSeq, a predicted model, not a curated record
UUGGUUGGUUUGAAGAAAUUCUAAGGAGAUCCAAGUGAAAUCAAAGCCAAAGAAGUGGAUUAAGCUUAGUUCUAGCCUUUUUAUGAUAUUUCUUGGUGGUUUCCAAGUGGUUUGAGGUUUAGAAAAGCUAGAAGAGAUUGUUUUCGCCGAAAAGUUGCUCGGUAGAGAAAGAAAUGUGUGAAUGACAUGAGGAGAACUGAAGCAUGGUCCUGACCCUGAUUUGUACAUAUGAACAUAUCGACCUUUUGUGGGUUAUUUCAGUUAUCAGUGAGAUGUUUGUAAUAAAGUGUGAAGUUAUGUUUUGAAAAUAAAUUGGGUUAUUUAAUUCUUAUGUAUAAUAUGUUUGAGACACACUUUAUGUUUAAUGUAAAUAAUGUGAAAUAAGUUUUCAAGUUUAAAAAAAAAAAAAAAUGUCCAGACUUCCGCAGUAAUAAAUUAUGAUAUAGUUUUAAAACGUAACACCUCAAAUAUGGUUUUAACUAAAAUAAGUGAGGGU